CAUAGCGACUAUCGUGGCAUAUCAAUAAGCGGAGGAAAAGAAACUAACAAGGAUUCCCUUAGUAACGGCGAGUGAAGCGGGAAGAGCUCAAAUUUGAAAUCUUCAAGGUUCUACCUUGACGAAUUGUAGUUUAUAGGAGUGUUUUCUGUUGGAGUUUUGGUAAAAGUUCUUUGGAAUAGGACAUCAUAGAGGGUGAGAAUCCCGUAUUUGACCAUUAUUUCCAGCUUUGUGAUACACUUUCAAAGAGUCGGAUUGUUUGGGAAUGCAGUCCAAAAUGGGUGGUAAAUUUCAUCUAAAGCUAAAUAUUGGCGAGAGACCGAUAGCGAACAAGUACCGUGAGGGAAAGAUGAAAAGAACUUUGAAAAGAGAGUUAAACAGUACGUGAAAUUGUCAAAAGGGAAGCGUUUGACACCAGUGUUGUUUAGUUGAAAAUCAAUUCAAUAGUUUUUGAUUUUAAGUAGUAUUGACUUCAUCAGCUUGCUGCUUUCUUUUCGGAAAUUAUUGAAUGCACUUUUCAGUUAACAAGUCAACAUCAAUUUCUUUUGUUGUAAAAGGGUAAGAGGAAGGUGGCUUACGCCUCGGCGUAAGUGUUUAUAGCCUUUUACCUCUGCAAUCGGAGAGAUUGAGGACAGCAGCGUAGACUCUUCGGGGUUAGAUACACUUGUGCUAAGCUAUAGCCUUGUAUAGACAACUUGUUGACUAUGCUCAGUCAUGUAGCUUACUCGCUUGUGCUAUUUUACCUACGCUUAGGAUGUUGAUAGUCACAGCGUGUAC
RNAcentral lists this ribosomal RNA (774 nucleotides) under uncultured Neocallimastigales. RNAcentral describes it as "partial large subunit ribosomal RNA". It matches the Rfam family "Eukaryotic large subunit ribosomal RNA", at positions 22 to 622 of the family's 3401-position model. The record is from RNAcentral. Lineage: Eukaryota; Fungi; Neocallimastigomycota; Neocallimastigomycetes; Neocallimastigales.